GCAACCCGCCUGCAUGGAGUUGGAAUCGCUAGUAAUCGCGGAUCAGCAUGCCGCGGUGAAUACGUUCCCGGGCCUUGUACACACCGCCCGUCACACCAUGAGAGUCGGGAACACCCGAAGUCCGUAGCCUGACCGCAAGGGGGGCGCGGCCGAAGGUGGGUUCGAUAAUUGGGGUGAAGUCGUAACAAGGUAUC
This 194-nucleotide ribosomal RNA is filed under the name uncultured bacterium. RNAcentral's name for it is "partial 16S ribosomal RNA". It matches the Rfam family "Bacterial small subunit ribosomal RNA", at positions 1307 to 1500 of the family's 1533-position model. The record is from RNAcentral.